CCCCUUGGGGAGUAGCCGGAUUCCUACGCAGGAAUCGUCCACGUCAACAUACUCGGCCAGUGCGCCGUGGCGUGGACAACCAUGAUGGUUGGCGAGACCAGCGGCCCGCGCGCGCAACGUCAGGUUGGGCGCGAGCGCGAGUCGUGCGUCCGUCCUUGCCCGACCUUC
RNAcentral lists this small RNA (168 nucleotides) under bacterium AM6. Its description in RNAcentral is "Bacterium AM6 Manganese sequence". It matches the Rfam family "Manganese Mn2+ riboswitch aptamer (yybP-ykoY)". Rfam says of the family: This RNA was originally discovered in E. coli during a large scale screen and was named SraF. The family was later found to exist upstream of related families of protein genes in many bacteria, including the the yybP and ykoK genes in B. subtilis. The record is from RNAcentral.